RNAcentral lists this transfer RNA (70 nucleotides) under Nitrospina sp. RNAcentral's name for it is "tRNA-Arg". Lineage: Bacteria; Pseudomonadati; Nitrospinota; Nitrospinia; Nitrospinales; Nitrospinaceae. The record is from RNAcentral.
GUCAAGGAAAGUGGUGCUUUUCGGAUUCCUAAUCCGUAGGUCAGGCGUUCGAAUCGCCUCGGGGGCACCA